This 229-nucleotide ribosomal RNA is filed under the name Parvimonas micra. RNAcentral describes it as "partial 16S ribosomal RNA". It matches the Rfam family "Bacterial small subunit ribosomal RNA", at positions 205 to 436 of the family's 1533-position model. The record is from RNAcentral. Lineage: Bacteria; Bacillati; Bacillota; Tissierellia; Tissierellales; Peptoniphilaceae.
AGAUUUAUCGGUGUAAGAAGGGCUCGCGUCUGAUUAGCUAGUUGGAAGGGUAAAGGCCUACCAAGGCGACGAUCAGUAGCCGGUCUGAGAGGAUGAACGGCCACAUUGGAACUGAGACACGGUCCAAACUCCUACGGGAGGCAGCAGUGGGGAAUAUUGCACAAUGGGGGGAACCCUGAUGCAGCGACGCCGCGUGAGCGAAGAAGGUUUUCGAAUCGUAAAGCUCUGU